RNAcentral lists this ribosomal RNA (253 nucleotides) under uncultured bacterium. Its description in RNAcentral is "partial 16S ribosomal RNA". It matches the Rfam family "Bacterial small subunit ribosomal RNA", at positions 524 to 776 of the family's 1533-position model. The record is from RNAcentral.
UACGAAGGGGGCUAGCGUUGUUCGGAAUUACUGGGCGUAAAGCGCGCGCAGGCGGUUCUUCAAGUCAGUGGUGAAAGCCCGGAGCUCAACUCCGGAACUGCCAUUGAAACUGUAGAACUCGAGAAUGAGAGAGGUGAGUGGAAUUCCCAGUGUAGAGGUGAAAUUCGUAGAUAUUGGGAAGAACACCGGUGGCGAAGGCGGCUCACUGGCUCAUUACUGACGCUCAUGCGCGACAGCGUGGGGAUCAAACAGG